Long non-coding RNA from Benincasa hispida (wax gourd), 1111 nucleotides. RefSeq lists it as uncharacterized. The record is from RefSeq and is a predicted model, not a curated record. Lineage: Eukaryota; Viridiplantae; Streptophyta; Magnoliopsida; Cucurbitales; Cucurbitaceae.
UUAUCGUCUACACGACGUCUUCUCCUCCAUCCUCUACCAAACUCACAAGAGCCCACUUUUUGGGUUUUUGGCAUCGAGGAUACCCGGUUUCUCUUGUAGUGGUGUCGUCCCGUGACAUUGUUCGUGUAUGUUCGAAUCGUGCUGUUGCAGUCUACAGACUCGUCGGGUGCUGGUAGAUCGGUGGGAGGUUUUUCUGCUGCUUUGGAUUCAGUCGUUCGAAGAGUGUCUUCAUCUGGUACGAGCAAAGAUACUUGGGUGACUGACAAGAGGAAUCCGUGAUAGCGCCAAUGAGACUAGAAAAUGCUUCCGCAGUGUCGAGUGUUGCAAUCCAACAAUAAUGAAAGUGGAGUGCAUCCUCAAGUUUUUCAUUGAGGAUGAUGACAGUUUAAGUGAGGGAAAGUGCAUAAUCUAAUUUUGAGAUAGUAGAUUUUGAAUCAGCUUGUGCAGACAGUGAAGUUGUGACACGUGAGUGUCGACACAUUUGGCAAAGACAGAGGGCCAAGAGAAGUGCCAUACAACACACGAACAUAAGUGGACAAACAUGCCAUGUUGAACAUUAAGUAGAAAGACAAGCAACCAUGACCUCGGAAGGUGAGAUUUCAUCGCGAGUUUGGACGAACGGCUAUAGAGUUAGAAGGAUAAUGAUAAGAUAUGCAAGCACAUUGAAUUUCAUGUCAAUCGGAGUUCAGACGGGCGCUCUACGUUGGUGAGUGACCGCUCGCCACAUUUCACAUGCAUGGGUGGCAAAGAGGAAAUGUUCAAAAUGCAUUAUAGAGGGAGGCAUGGUGUCAGCUCUCCGCCAUCCCUGAGCCCUGUGGCCUAAGUGAGCUACCCCAUGGCAUGUGCGUGUAUCAUGGCAUGGGCAAGCAUUACAAGAAAAGAGUCGUGGACGCCUUCCAUCGAGAAUGGGGUCUCAAAGCAGUAUCUGACGACAUGGGUGUGCCGGCAUUGCGCCUCGUCUAAUGGGCCAAAGAUUCGAUGUAGCACUUGACAUGUUGUUUUGAUUAUGAAUGAACUCUUAUUCAAAAGUACCUACGAGUAAAAACGGAUCUUUCCAAUUCAUUCUGACAGAAUUACCGCAUAUACAUUCAAAUAUACUUUCAUAAUGUCA